GACGUAGGGCGCGAGCGUUGUCCGGAUUGAUUGGGCGUAAAGAGCUCGUAGGCGGCUCGUUGCGUCGGCUGUGAAAACCCGCAGCUCAACUGUGGGCCUGCAGCCGAUACGGGCGGGCUGGAGUUCGGUAGGGGAGAUUGGAAUUCACGGUGUAGCAGUGAAAUGCGUAGAUAUCGUGAGGAAGACCAGUGGCGAAGGCGGAUCUCUGGACAGUUCCUGACGCUGAGGCGCGAAGGCCAGGGGAGCAAACGGG
Molecule: ribosomal RNA, 253 nt
Filed under: uncultured bacterium
Lineage: Bacteria
Description: partial 16S ribosomal RNA
Rfam family: Bacterial small subunit ribosomal RNA
Source: RNAcentral